This 332-nucleotide ribosomal RNA is filed under the name uncultured bacterium. Its description in RNAcentral is "bacterial SSU rRNA". It matches the Rfam family "Bacterial small subunit ribosomal RNA", at positions 28 to 341 of the family's 1533-position model. The record is from RNAcentral.
GAUGAACGCUGGCGGCAUGCCUAACACAUGCAAGUCGAACGAAGCUCCGACCUUUGAGAUUUCGGUCAAGAAGGAAGGAUGACUGAGUGGCGAACGGGUGAGUAAUGCAUGAGCAACCUGCCCUUCAGUGGGGGACAACAGUUGGAAACGACUGCUAAUACCGCAUAACACUUCCGGAAGGCAUCUUCUGGAAGUCAAAGAUUUAUUGCUGAAGGAUGGGCUCAUGUCUGAUUAGUUAGUUGGCGGGGUAACGGCCCACCAAGACUACGAUCAGUAGCCGGUCUGANAGGAUGAACGGCCACAUUGGGACUGAGAUACGGCCCAGACUCCUA